Molecule: ribosomal RNA, 253 nt
Filed under: uncultured bacterium
Lineage: Bacteria
Description: partial 16S ribosomal RNA
Rfam family: Bacterial small subunit ribosomal RNA
Source: RNAcentral
UACGUAGGGGGCAAGCGUUGUCCGGAUUUAUUGGGCGUAAAGAGCGUGUAGGCGGCCAUACAGGUCCGUUGUGAAAACUGGAGGCUCAACCUCCAGACGUCGACGGAAACCGUAUGGCUAGAGUCCGGAAGAGGAGAGUGGAAUUCCUGGUGUAGCGGUGAAAUGCGCAGAUAUCAGGAGGAACACCGAUGGCGAAGGCAGCUCGCUGGGACGGUACUGACGCUGAGGCGCGAAAGCGUGGGGAGCGAACAGG